Molecule: ribosomal RNA, 1043 nt
Filed under: Microbacterium sp.
Lineage: Bacteria; Bacillati; Actinomycetota; Actinomycetes; Micrococcales; Microbacteriaceae
Description: bacterial SSU rRNA
Rfam family: Bacterial small subunit ribosomal RNA
Source: RNAcentral
CUGAGGGAUGACGGCCUUCGGGUUGUAAACCUCUUUUAGCAGGGAAGAAGCGAAAGUGACGGUACCUGCAGAAAAAGCGCCGGCUAACUACGUGCCAGCAGCCGCGGUAAUACGUAGGGCGCAAGCGUUAUCCGGAAUUAUUGGGCGUAAAGAGCUCGUAGGCGGUUUGUCGCGUCUGCUGUGAAAUCCGGAGGCUCAACCUCCGGCCUGCAGUGGGUACGGGCAGACUAGAGUGCGGUAGGGGAGAUUGGAAUUCCUGGUGUAGCGGUGGAAUGCGCAGAUAUCAGGAGGAACACCGAUGGCGAAGGCAGAUCUCUGGGCCGUAACUGACGCUGAGGAGCGAAAGGGUGGGGAGCAAACAGGCUUAGAUACCCUGGUAGUCCACCCCGUAAACGUUGGGAACUAGUUGUGGGGUCCAUUCCACGGAUUCCGUGACGCAGCUAACGCAUUAAGUUCCCCGCCUGGGGAGUACGGCCGCAAGGCUAAAACUCAAAGGAAUUGACGGGGACCCGCACAAGCGGCGGAGCAUGCGGAUUAAUUCGAUGCAACGCGAAGAACCUUACCAAGGCUUGACAUAUACGAGAACGGGCCAGAAAUGGUCAACUCUUUGGACACUCGUAAACAGGUGGUGCAUGGUUGUCGUCAGCUCGUGUCGUGAGAUGUUGGGUUAAGUCCCGCAACGAGCGCAACCCUCGUUCUAUGUUGCCAGCACGUAAUGGUGGGAACUCAUGGGAUACUGCCGGGGUCAACUCGGAGGAAGGUGGGGAUGACGUCAAAUCAUCAUGCCCCUUAUGUCUUGGGCUUCACGCAUGCUACAAUGGCCGGUACAAAGGGCUGCAAUACCGCGAGGUGGAGCGAAUCCCAAAAAGCCGGUCCCAGUUCGGAUUGAGGUCUGCAACUCGACCUCAUGAAGUCGGAGUCGCUAGUAAUCGCAGAUCAGCAACGCUGCGGUGAAUACGUUCCCGGGUCUUGUACACACCGCCCGUCAAGUCAUGAAAGUCGGUAACACCUGAAGCCGGUGGCCUAACCCUUGUGGAGGGAGC